RNAcentral lists this ribosomal RNA (253 nucleotides) under uncultured bacterium. RNAcentral describes it as "partial 16S ribosomal RNA". It matches the Rfam family "Bacterial small subunit ribosomal RNA", at positions 524 to 776 of the family's 1533-position model. The record is from RNAcentral.
UACAGAGGGGGCAAGCGUUGUUCGGAAUUACUGGGCGUAAAGGGUCUGUAGGUGGCUUGCUAAGUCAGACGUGAAAUCCCUCAGCUUAACUGGGGAACUGCGUCUGAGACUGGCGAGCUUGAGGGCAGGAGAGGAACGCGGAAUUCCAGGUGUAGCGGUGAAAUGCGUAGAUAUCUGGAGGAACACCGGUGGCGAAGGCGGCAUCCUGGACCGACACUGACGCUGAGGAGCGAAAGCCAGGGGAGCAAACGGG